This 111-nucleotide ribosomal RNA is filed under the name Caerostris darwini. Lineage: Eukaryota; Metazoa; Arthropoda; Arachnida; Araneae; Araneidae. The record is from RNAcentral.
AACGGCCGUACCAUGCUGAAUAUACCGGUUCUCGUUAGAUCACCGAAGUCAAGCAUCAUUGGGCGUGGUCAGUACUUGGGUGGGUGACCACCUGGGAACACUGCUUGCCGU